RNAcentral lists this ribosomal RNA (253 nucleotides) under uncultured bacterium. RNAcentral describes it as "partial 16S ribosomal RNA". It matches the Rfam family "Bacterial small subunit ribosomal RNA", at positions 524 to 776 of the family's 1533-position model. The record is from RNAcentral.
UACGAAGGGGGCUAGCGUUGCUCGGAAUUACUGGGCGUAAAGCGCACGUAGGCGGCUUCUUAAGUCGGUGGUGAAAUCCUGGAGCUCAACUCCAGAACUGCCUUCGAUACUGGGAAGCUCGAGUCCGGGAGAGGUGAGUGGAACUGCAAGUGUAGAGGUGAAAUUCGUAGAUAUUCGCAAGAACACCAGUGGCGAAGGCGGCUCACUGGCCCGGUACUGACGCUGAGGUGCGAAAGCGUGGGGAGCGAACAGG